UUCACCCUGAAGACGGUUGAGUUCAGGACACAAAGUGUAAAAUCCAGAUGAGCAGAGACCAAGAUUUCUGAUUGAACAAAGAACACUUUAUUGAGUGCUGCCUGGGUGCGGGGAGAAGAGCGGGAUGACCCAGAUGGGAGGCAAGAUCCUCCUGGAGGUCCUGAGGCUCCGGGCCCCCUUAGGUGGGCGGGGCCGUCGGGAACCUAAGAGCACUCUGCCUGGGUGUGGGGAGAAGGGCGGGAUGACCCAGAUAGGAGGCAAGAUCCUCCUGGAGGUCCUGAGGCUCCGGGCCCCCUUAGGUGGGCGGGGGCGUCGGGAACCUAAGAGCACUCUGCGGGGGCCACCUUCUUCUCCACGGUGCUCCCCUCGUGUGUGACCAGGCAGCUGAAGCUGCUGUGAGAUUUCCACUUGUCAGGCGUCAGGCUCAGGUAGCUGCUGGCCGCGUACUUGUUGUUGCUCUGCUUGGAGGGCUUGGUGGUCUCCACGCCCUGGGUGACGGGGCUGCCGUCUGCCUUCCAGGCCACCGUCACGCCACUGGGGUAGAAGUCGCUGAUGAGGCACACCAGGGUGGCCUUGUUGGCGCCGAGCUCCUCAGAGGAGGGCGGGAAGAGUGUGACCGAGGGGGAGGCCUUGGGCUGACCUGUGGGGAUGGAAGGACAGCGGGUCAAGGCAGAUGUUUGUUGUGUCAGCAACUGCCUCAUUCUUGGUGUGGGGGUACAGCUGUGUCAUAUCCAUGACCCAGGCCUCCCGUGGACCUCAUUCCCCGAGGUAAUGGUAGCCAUGGAUAGUUAGUUCCCUCACCUUCUGAGGUGAGAAUGUGAGUGCCAGAUUCUCUAGUUUCUGGUCCCUCCCAUGUCCUUAGGCUGUCUGCACGUCACGUAUACUUCGUGUCCACCCAGUGUGCUCCCAGUACUGGUGGGGGUACAGGGGCCCUGAGAUCCUGUUUCCCUUCUGAACCUGAGUGUCCUUGGCCAUUGGUCUCCAUGUGACUACACCCGUGUCACUUACCCGUGAUUUCCUAGAGCCUGCCAUUCUCGGUGACAGGGCUCUGUUCUUACCAUGUGAACAAUAGGUUUCCCGUCCCCAGACUGUCUCACAUCUUCACAGCAGCCUUCCCCGCCUCCCUACCAAUCCCGCACUAGAGCCCUUGAAGUUGUAAGCGCAAUGAGGUCCUGGGCCUCGGUCCAGGAGGUACAGGAGACAGAAUGGAUUUGUAUGAAUGAAUUUUCAAAAUGCAGCUGGGAUUUUGUUUGAUCUGAGGGUGUCCCCUGACCCAUGAAGUUAUCCUAGUGCAUCUGUCUGUCCUUGGAUUUCUGAGUGCUGUGUAGGCAAUGUCCCUGUUCUGCGUUCCUAUCAUCCCCCCUGACCCAAAUUUCUGCUCAUUGGCUUUUAAGCCUCGGAGAGCUGUGUAGGGAUGGACCCCUGCUACCUGAGUGUCUCGAGGCCUCCUUGGGUGCGUGACGGUCCAUUCUUGGUGUGUGUUCUCUCCCCCUAGGUGGUGGAUGGUCCUACCGCAUUGGGCUCCCUUAUCUGAAGUCCUCACCUUAUUCUUGACCCUGAGCUGUACUUUGCCUUCCUUGUCUCUAAGUCCCCAUGCCUAGUGUCUCCUCCCUGAGCUUCACACAGACUCUGGCUGGGAUUCCCGCCACACGCAGAGAGAGAGCAAGCGCCUUGGCAGGCCCCAGAAUCCUUCCAUAAUCCCAUGGCCCUGCUUACAGCUCAAGUAUCCCUCUUCCUAUCCUUCACCAUCAUUUCCCUCAGAUUCUUGAAGUCAAAGGCCCAGAGUGGGGAGUCACAGAUGCCCAAGUCCAGGGGAGAAGUUUCCCUCAUGGGGAGAGAGCUCGACCCCCAGGGAAGCCUGAGUGUAGAUCAGGGGCUGCUUCCCUGAGGCACCGAAUGGACCUCUGACAAGGUGGGAGCAAUGGAGGAAUGAGGAGCAGAGCAAGGGGACCAAAAGUACAGACCCACAGACCUUCAGCCUCAGCCCGCAUCAGGAUUGAAAGGAGACAAAUAUUGCCAGAAAUUGUAGUGCGGAGGUGAAAGAGGAGAGAAAGGGGGAGACUCACCGAGGACGGUCAGAUGGGUGCCUCCGCCGAACACACUACACUGUGAUACAGCCUCGAUCACAAACCCUCUGUCAGCCCCUCCUCCCCUUACCCAGGCCACCUGCAGGUGCUCGGGAGGCCCAAAGGGCAGCCUCCUUGUCACGGGUGCUGGUCAGGCUGAAUGGGAGUGGGGUGAUGAGGGCGUAGCCACUGAGGACCAGGAAUUUCAUUUCCAUGGAGGGUUCAUGUUCCUUCCAUCCCAAGUCCCAGUGUGAGG
This 2322-nucleotide long non-coding RNA is filed under the name Canis lupus familiaris (dog). RNAcentral describes it as "lncRNA (ENSCAFG00000057814.1)". Lineage: Eukaryota; Metazoa; Chordata; Mammalia; Carnivora; Canidae. The record is from RNAcentral.